GGGCCUGUGGCGCAGGUGGUAGCGCACCUGCAGGGCAUGCAGGGGGCCAGGGGUUCGAGUCCCCUCAGGUGCACCA
RNAcentral lists this transfer RNA (76 nucleotides) under Microbacterium oleivorans. RNAcentral describes it as "tRNA-Ala". It matches the Rfam family "tRNA". Rfam says of the family: Transfer RNA (tRNA) molecules are approximately 80 nucleotides in length. RNAcentral also lists the same sequence under 2 other names. Lineage: Bacteria; Bacillati; Actinomycetota; Actinomycetes; Micrococcales; Microbacteriaceae. The record is from RNAcentral.